Long non-coding RNA from Mesocricetus auratus (golden hamster), 4936 nucleotides. RefSeq lists it as uncharacterized. The transcript is spliced from 3 exons. The record is from RefSeq and is a predicted model, not a curated record. NCBI's taxonomy places the organism in Eukaryota, Metazoa, Chordata, Mammalia, Rodentia, Cricetidae.
UUUGUGGCAGCGCAUCUUCUUUGGGGAGCAGAAAUCUCUUCCCGUUAGCACCACUUCGAGACACCCGCGUUCGCCGCCGGAGUCCAAUCCAUCCCGCUCACCUUCCGGAGGGGGCCUCGCACCGGCCUGCCGCGGGAAAAGAAGAAUUGACACGCAGAAGUUUGUUGUGCAAUGUUUCUAUUUAUGACUGUGCCAAUGACUUUUGGAAACCCUGCAACUCCACUUUCUUCAAGAGGAAAAAUGGAAUCAUUUUGACUAGAGUAUCUUCUCCUUAGCUACAACUCUCAAAAUGGGAUCAUACCUCUUAACUACAGUACCUGAGAGAGACUCAUUCAUUAACGUGUGGACAUUAUUCAAGGGUCACAUUUUUUCAUUAAGACAUUCAUUGCUCAUUUCAUUUCAAAAUAUGAGGAAAUGUCUAAGUCACUUAUUCAUUAUAUUUUCUCAAGUGAUUGAAGAAAGCACCCAUUAAAAUUGAGCAAUAAUUGAAAUGCAUGCUAUGUGUCAACUAAUGUCUUAACAUAAACAUAGUUUAUGAACAUACAUCUAAAUGAACAAACAAAUGGACAAAGUUUCUGCAGUUACCGUGAAUGAUCAUUAAACUUCACUGUGUACUUCUGGGUGUCCAAAGGGGAAAGAUGAAUGCGGCAUAUUGUGAUGGUUAAUGAUGUCAGCUUGACAGGAUCCAGGCUCAUCGAGGAGACAAGCCUCUGGGCAAGCCUGUGGAAAACCAUUUCUGUUAGAUUACCUGAAAUUGGAAGAACUGUCCUAAAUGUGGCCAGCACCAUCACCAAGUGCAAUGACUAGCGUUUGUUGCCAACUGAUAAAUUCCAGAAUCACCAUGGGAGGUGGGUUCCUGGGUUUACCUUUGGGGAAUUGUUUCAGUUAUGUUAAUUGAACUGGAAAUAUCUAUGCAACUGGGAUUGCAGACAAUAUAAACGGAGAAAGGAACUGAGCAGCAACAUGAAUUAAUCUUUCUCUGCUUCUUGCUUGUGAAUACAAUGAGAUCUGCUGUUUCAAGCUUCUGCAACCUUGUCUGCUCUCUGAUGGUGGACCAAGCCUUCAAACAGUGAAACAGAGUAACAUUUUUCUCCUUUUUAUUGCCUUUGUCAGAGUAUUUUAUUGCAGCAACAGGAAAAUAAACUAGGGCAAUCCUUGGCUGUAUAUAGAGGAAAAGUGAGAUGGGCAUAAGCAUUCAUCACUUUUUCCUUCCUCACUAUGUAUACAAUAUGACUCACCACCUCUUGCUUCUGCUUUUGUACUUUCUCCAUUACACAUUAGGCUGUACCCUCAGCUGUGAGCCAAACUACACAUGUAUUUAAGUUGUUUAUUGCAAUUAUUGUUUUAGCACAGCAUCAAGACAGGUAUGUAAGACAAACAUUAUAUACAUUUUAUGUGCCUAAUUUAAUAAUUCAAGUUAAAUCAAUAUUAAAAUUCUUUAAUUAAUAUAUUAAAUAUUUAUUUGUCUCACACAUUUAUUUGUCUCACGAACACAUGAUAUGAAAUAUGAGGCAGGAAAUACUGGACUGACAUGGAGAAGAAAGUACAUGAAAGAUUUAUAUAGUUUAUUUUCAUUAAAAUGGAGCAAAGUUCUUUUAAUUGUCCAGACUUAUUGUUUUCACCUUUCAUCAAAUUCUUCAGCUGUUUGCAAUCAUUAAAAUUAUUACUUAUGAUCUGCUUUUUAAAAUAAGCAAUAAAAUUUAAUUAUUGUGACUCAAAUAAUGUAAGUAUUGUCAAAUGCAAUAGGAGAAGUAGCCUUGGAAAAUUUCCUCUUAGUCUCUCAGGAAUUGAUUGAAUCCAACAUUUAUUUUCCCACACAAAGCACUGGCUGGUCAAAGGCCUUCGUCUUUGUGUCUCCCCUUCCUCUGGUGUUAUUGUUUCUCUUCUUAGGCAUAGAAACAAAAAUGAAAAAAAAUCCACAUACCACAGUGAUCGGAAGUGGAAUCAUUUCUUCUUCAGAGAUAGUUGGCGUCUCCCUGUCCUGGAGUCUCAGAAAGUGUUUUUGCCUCGAACUACAGUACUCCAUACUCUAUCCCCCACUGAUCCACAGUCAGAUUAGAAACUUUUAUAGGACACUUGACACUUGAUAUGUUUUUUGCCAUUGGAAUAGCAAACAUAUCAAUUUGUACAUAAAGUACAAUAAGAACAGCUGGGCUGCCUAUCUGCCGGUAAUUGAUAGUGAAAGUCUGUUUCCAAGACACUGUCUAUUAAGAGUCAUUCCACAUCUCUGAGAACAUGCUUUCUUCUGAGUGAUGGGUAUUUUGAACAAUAAUAAUCUAAAGACUUUGACUAUCUUGAUCAAGAGGUUUUGGGAAAAUAUCCAGUAAGAAGCAGAUCAAGCUUGACAAUAGAGCUAAGAGUAUUAAUAGAGAUUAAUGAGAAUUAAAAGGAAGUAAUUUGGAAUGGUAACUUAAUCAAUGUACUUCUGUCAGUUCACAUUUGAAAGGCCACUCCUGUGUUUAAGCCGUUAACAUUUCAUGAAAACAGUUAAAGUAACUAUACUGAGCUUUACAACUGAGCAAUGCAAUGAUUAAUUUUCAAAGACCCAAGGUGUGUUGCUAAACUUAGUUGAAAAUUCACUGUAAAUGACAAUAUUCCACACAUUCAGAAUUCAGUGUUAAUACAAGUACAUUUAAAUUCACUCAGUCUGUAGGGUGGAGGGCUCCCAAACACAAAUGUACAUCUGUACUUGUUUACCUAGUAUUGUGUGACAAAAAUUUUUCUGGGGAGAUACAACAUACACAUCUACUCACCCCAAAUGGUGAGCUCAUGACAGACUAAAAUACGGAUACCACUGUGGUGAUAUAUUAUUUCUGCUUUAUUAAAACUUGCCUGAGGAUACAGAAAGCAAAACUAGCCACAAGCUAUAUAGGUCAAGCAUUGGUGAUGCACACAUUUAAUCCCAGCAGUCACACUAGUGAGCCAUAGAAACUAGGCACUGAUGGCUAACACCUUUAAUCCAAGGACUCAGGGUUAAGGUGUAUAUAGAUCUCUGUUAGUUCAAGGCCACAUUGACUACAUGAAUUUUAUCCAGUUCUAAAAGAAACAACUCACACAAAGGUCAUCUCACCACCUGGAAUCACAAGUCUUUAAUCCCAGUACUAGGGAGGUGGAGACAGGAAUGAUGUGGCUGGGUAGAGAAAAAAUAAAAGGCAGGAGGAGACAAGAACUGAAAGCUUUUGCCUCAGAGGAUUCGUGGAGACAGGGUUGCCAUUUUGACUUGGUAAAGAUGAUAAGAUCUACUGGCUUGGCUGCUUUAAUUAUAUGAUCUUCAGCUUGAAGCUUGAACCCAAUAUCUGUCUCUGGAUCUUAUUUUUUAUAUUACAUACCACUAAAAUCCACCUUGGUGAACCAUGAGUUUUAUUGGGGUUACAUACAAGAGUAUGGUUUAGAGGUGUCUUGCAGGAGCAGAAAGAUCUCAAGAUAGAUGCGUCUGCAGAACUCUCCUCAGAAAGCAUGACCUAAAAGCUGGGAGCCUGAAGCACUCAUCAUAGUAAGUAGGUAGCUUAACAGGUUGGACAGUUGCCCAUUCCAGUGACUCAGUUGGUGUAAUCCUCUUCCAUUUAGAUCUGCCUGUACCUGCUUCUCCCAGGCAACUGCUGGUCUGGUCUCAGAAUCUUCAUAGCAGCUUGGCUUGUCAGAGAAGGAAUUUUCUUUGCAGCUCAGUUUCUCUGAAAGGCAGCCUCAACUCUUGUUGUUUAUUCCAUCAAGAAGGAGACUAGUGAAUUGGGUCAGUUUUAGGGUCUUCCUGAUGCUAUUCUGAGUUAUUUACCUCACAGUUGAAGAGUUUGCUUGUAGGAUGGGCUGUUUCAUUCUCAUAGGAAAUUGUCACAUGCCAACCAGUGUUUAUUUAUGACAACAAAGAGUUAUUAAAGACUUGGUUAUGCUAUUUUAAAGUUCUGUUAAGUAUUUUAUAGACAUAGAAUACAUCUUGAAUUAAUGACAUGUUUCAUGUUGUGAAGUGCAUUUUAUUUUACAGACAGUAAUAAUCUACUUCAUGCUGCAAUGUUAGUUAUAUUUAAUAUAAUGAGGUUCAGUAAAUAUACUUUAUUUAUCAUCCCAAUAAUUUGUAUUUUAUUGAUAUUGAAACCAUUCAAAUACCUCUUUUCUAAGGAUUUUGAUUUAGUGCUGGCCAUGUUGUUUUUAUGUUAGAAUUCUCAGUUGGUUCUCCAUUAACAAAUAAAGGCACAAGUCCUCUCACUCCUCUUCCUAGCUUCUACUAGUCACCACUUUGCUAACUGAACACAGUCUUUUUAUAGGCAAUUAUUUCAGAACUUCUCUUAGUAUGGCUUCAUUUCAUUUGCUAUGACUUCCACACUCAUUUGUAUUGCUACAAAUGACAUAAUUUCGCUUUUUAUAGUGAAUAUUAUGUACUCUAUUCUGCCUAAGUGCUGCAUUCCAUUUAUCUACUCAUUUACUGAUAAAUACUUUGUCUAAUACUAUACUUUGGUGAUUAAGAUGCAAUAAAGAAAGUUUUAGGGAUCUCUUUGUUUCAUAUCAUUUCUUUCUUUCUUUUUAAAAUUCAUCUGUUUAUUUUACGUCCCUGAUGUAGUCUCCCCUAGAUACUCCCCUUGAAGAUAUACUCAGUGGUGGGAUUUUUUGAAUCAUAUAGUUUCAUUAUUUGAAAAACUUUCACAAUUGCUUUCCACAUUUGAAUGUUAAUUUAACCUGUAUAUAAGAUGCCUCCUCUCCAGUCCUGUCAGUUUUUGAGAAAUUUUCAUAUUGUUUCCACAGUUGAGUGCUAAUUUAACUUGUGUAUUAGAUGUUUGGCCUCUAGCCCUCUCUAGCAAUUGUCAAUGUUUUGAUUAUAGGUAUUCUUAUUGGCUUGAGGUUAUAUAAAAUGUGAUCUCUACUUUCAUUUCCCUAUUUUCAUGUGAUUGGCUAUUUUUGUCUCUUCUUUUGGUAAAGGUCUACUCAGAUAAUUUGUACAUUUAUU